UACGUAGGGGGCAAGCGUUGUCCGGAAUCAUUGGGCGUAAAGCGCGCGUAGGCGGCCCGGUAAGUCCGCUGUAAAAGUCCAGGGCUCAACCCUGGAAAGCCGGUGGAUACUGUCGGGCUAGAGUCCGGAAGAGGAGAGUGGAAUUCCUGGUGUAGCGGUGAAAUGCGCAGAUAUCAGGAAGAACACCCGUGGCGAAAGCGGCUCUCUGGAACGGUACUGACGCUGAGACGCGAAAGCGUGGGGAGCGAACAGG
This 253-nucleotide ribosomal RNA is filed under the name uncultured bacterium. RNAcentral's name for it is "partial 16S ribosomal RNA". It matches the Rfam family "Bacterial small subunit ribosomal RNA", at positions 524 to 776 of the family's 1533-position model. The record is from RNAcentral.